Molecule: unclassified non-coding RNA, 168 nt
Filed under: uncultured Tremellales
Lineage: Eukaryota; Fungi; Basidiomycota; Tremellomycetes; Tremellales
Description: sequence contains ITS2
Source: RNAcentral
AGACUCAGCCUACCCGGUUUAUGAUCGGGAUGGGUUGGAUGUGGGCGCUGCCGAUUGCCGGCUCGCCUUAAAUGUCUUAGCGGCUUCGGAUGCCCCGACCUGGCGUAAUAAGUUUCGCUGGAGAGGGUGCGGAUGACUGCUCACAAUCGCCCUUGGGCAACCUUUUGA